CCUACGGGGUGCUGCAGUAGGGAAUUUUUCGCAAUGGGGGAAACCCUGACGCAGCAACGCCGCGUGAUCGAUGAAGCCCUUCGGGGUGUUAAGAUCUGUCAGUGGGGACGAAACCUGACGGUACCCACAGAGGAAGCACCGGCUAACUCCGUGCCAGCGGCCGCGGUAAUACGGGGGGUGCAAGCGUUGCCCGGAGUCAUUGGGCGUAAAGUGUUCGUAGGUGGCACGGUAAGUCUGGUGUUAAAGGGGGAAGCUCAACGUCCGUAGGGCACUGGAUACUGGCGGGCUUGAAUGCGGUAGAGGUAAAGGGAAUGCCUGGUGUAGCGGUGAAAUGCGUAGAUAUCAGGAGGAACAUCGGUGGCGUAGGCGCUUUACUGGGCCGUAAUUGACACUGAGGAACGAAAGCCGGGGUAGCAAAUGGGAUUAGAUACCCUUGUAGUC
This 441-nucleotide ribosomal RNA is filed under the name uncultured bacterium. RNAcentral's name for it is "partial 16S ribosomal RNA". It matches the Rfam family "Bacterial small subunit ribosomal RNA", at positions 338 to 795 of the family's 1533-position model. The record is from RNAcentral.